RNAcentral lists this ribosomal RNA (509 nucleotides) under Stygoporus oregonensis. RNAcentral describes it as "partial 16S ribosomal RNA". It matches the Rfam family "Bacterial large subunit ribosomal RNA", at positions 1832 to 2600 of the family's 2925-position model. Lineage: Eukaryota; Metazoa; Arthropoda; Insecta; Coleoptera; Dytiscidae. The record is from RNAcentral.
CUUUAGAUAAUUAUUAAAGGUUUAACCUGCCCACUGAAGUAUUUUAAAUGGCCGCAGUAAAUUGACUGUGCAAAGGUAGCAUAAUCAAUAGUUUUUUAAUUAAAAGCUUGUAUGAAUGGUUGGACGAAAUAAAAUCUGUCUUUAAUUUAUAAAUAGAAUUUAAUAUUUAAGUUAAAAAGCUUAAAUUUUAUUAAAAGACGAGAAGACCCUAUAGAUCUUUAUAAUAAUUAAUUUGUUUUUAUUAAGGAAAUAAUUUUUAUUUCAAUUUAAUUAUUAUUUUAUUGGGGUAAUAGGAAGAUUAUAUAAAUUCUUCUUUUUUAUAGAUAAUUAUCUUUGAUUUGAUGAUCCAUUAUUAAUGAUUAAAAGAUUAAGUUACCUUAGGGAUAACAGCGUAAUUUUUUUUGAGAGUUCAUAUCGAUAAAAAAGUUUGCGACCUCGAUGUUGGAUUAAAAAUUAUUCUAGGUGUAGUAGUUUAGAGUUUUGGUCUGUUCGACCAUUAAAUUUUUACA